UACGUAGGAGGCGAGCGUUGUCCGGAAUUACUGGGCGUAAAGAGCGCGUAGGCGGCACUGUACGACCGCUGUGAAAGCCCCCGGCUCAACUGGGGAGGGUCAGUGGUAACGGCAGAGCUGUGAGUGCAGGAGAGGGAAGUGGAACUCCGGGAGUAGCGGUGAAAUGCGUAGAUACCCGGAGGAACACCAGUGGCGAAGGCGGCUUCCUGGCCUGUAACUGACGCUGUGGCGCGAAAGCUAGGGGAGCGAACGGG
Molecule: ribosomal RNA, 254 nt
Filed under: uncultured bacterium
Lineage: Bacteria
Description: partial 16S ribosomal RNA
Rfam family: Bacterial small subunit ribosomal RNA
Source: RNAcentral